This 203-nucleotide unclassified non-coding RNA is filed under the name Hevea brasiliensis (rubber tree). Lineage: Eukaryota; Viridiplantae; Streptophyta; Magnoliopsida; Malpighiales; Euphorbiaceae. The record is from RNAcentral.
UCCGAUCGAGAGUACGGCGGCGACGGCCAGAAGUUGUUUACGCAUGUGUUUUCCUUUCAGUUGAUCAACCUUCGGAAUGAAGGCUCUACGCUCCCCAGCGAUUCAAUUACUUAACGAUCACCGUGCCGAGCAUGCCGGACUCGCGAUGUCCGGGAAUCAGGCACGCAAAUUCGAACUGACCUGGCUUGCUGAACUUCCAGACA